UUGGGCCAGAUAGCCCACCACAUAGCCGGCCGAAGCGAGGGAGCAUUCGCUGAUCCAAAAAGCAGCGAACCAAUCAGUCGUAGGCGAUUCGAGUGCUUGCUAACCCUAACCAACGCCAGCGGCGACGGCGGCGGCAGCGAGCCGAAACGUCUUGGAAGCGGGGCGGCGUGCCAUCGGUGUCGAUCUCCACUUGCAUGGAUUCGAAGCGCGGCAGCGUGGUUGUGGACGAGGGGCGCGACGUCCAUGGCGCUCAAGCUUUGGCGACCAUGCUGGUACCAAUUUUGGGUGUUUGAAUUUGUUAUACUGACCGAACUGUACUGUGCUGGUAGCCAUGGCGUAGUGAGUCAAGAAGCCUCAUGUUCCUCCGCAUUCCAGGAACAACCCAACUUACUCCGCAACGACGACCACCAUGCAUUUUUACCAACUGUCAAACCAUCUUAUCUCAUCCUAGAAAAACAUACUGUGUAGAGUAGGUGCUCGCUACAGUUGUCUAUCCGGGCCUCCGGCCACCAAAUUCGAACCAUAAACAUAUGUUUUGUCCAAUAGUAGGUGCAGAUGCUAGGGGCUAGGCGUCGAUACCUCCGGUCUCAUGGCACUCCAUGCAAAGCCAAGGCAGGUGACACUCCUUGCAAUUGUUUGCAUGCUUGCAUUGGAAUAAAUGGCCAUGUGAUUUCUGCUGCAUGGCGAUGCUAUUUUAACAAAGUAUUGUUCAGUUUGCAGUAACAAGUUGGUACCCUCUUAUCCUCUACAGGUACUACAUCGGUUAAGCAACAUAUCUUGUCUUUCCUAGACAUCAGCAUUAUUUUGCUAACAUAAUACAGAUCUUAAGUUAAAUCAAUUGAUAAUGUUCUUCUUCUGACCGAAGAAAAUCAUUUUUAGAUAGUUAGUGGCAGGGGCAGUUGGUCAGAUAUAAAGCCUUCUGGUAAACCAGGCGGAUUUAAUGGUCUAAGUAGCUACUGAUUUGCUAACGGGUCACUGCUUUGCAAGAUAAAACUGGCCCAUCUUCGUCCCCCACAUAGCUGACUUGUGCUGCAAAGACUGGAUUCCCUCAAAGGAAAAAAAAAAUUGAGACUGAUGGUGGCAGAAUGACGAAGAAGCUUGGUCAUCUCUCUUCUGUUACUAUUGCUGGCAUUAGGCCUCGAGCGUCAGGAUCAUGAGUAGGGUGUGGAGGCUGUCGGGCUGCAGUCCCAUGGAGUUCUAUGCCUCCAUAUAUAGGAAGUGGAUAUAGUUGAAGCGCCAUAUCCAAUUCAUCGACCUCGCCAUGAUGAGGGAGAAGGUGGUGACCAAUAGGAGAUAUUCGAGCUCAGGAGUAACAUGGCACAAAGGGAUGUUGGUUGAUAAGAUUCAUCCACAUACCAUGUCAAUAUUCUUGGACAAGUACGUAUAGUGUUUUAUACUCUCAAGGACUUUAAUAACUUAUUAUUAGGUUGAUCUACAGUCUCUAGGAGUUUGAUAACUUAUUAUUAGUUUGAUCUUCAGUCUAUAGCUCUAAAGGAGCUCAUACGACAUAUAGAGUUUUACUUUAAACUUUGGAGAGGAUACUCGGAUGUGUACACAUUAGAUGGCCACUUGCUAUAAAAACAAAAGCCGUGGCUGGGAGAUAAGUUAUUUUUUCAUACAUAACUCCCACUUCCAGUUUAGGCCGGGGAACCGCAUAAGCAUUUGGAAUACCAUAUAAUUGCUGGCUCGAACAUGACAUGAAUGUAGUGGCAUUUAUGUUUCAUAUUUAGCUUUGGGGAUGAAAUGGCGAAAUUUGAGUAGCUUAAUUUGAUGUGACUUUGUGAAUGCAUACGUAUUUGUAAUGCUCAUGGUCACUCUUGAGAAGAUAUGAAAAAAUUGAUACGACUGAUCGUGCUACUUGGCACAAGGCCAUAAGUUCAUUAGUUUCAUUAUUAGAUGAAAUUGAUUACCUCGAUUCAUGCUGGGUAUUUAAUUACUUUACAUGCAUGGCACAUCUGUCUAAGGACAGAGCUUGCGUUACUUUAGUCACUGAUAUUUGCUUGCUUUAAAAUGAUGGCCGAUGAUGAAUUAUUUGUUGGUUAGAAGACAAUUUACUGUAUUUCAGUUGUAAAUGCGGUUCUGAUUGGCAGUGGAAGUGAUGAAGUUCCAUAACUUGAGAAAGAGACAUGUUUUAAGAGAUGGUGAUUUAACUAAUAUGGCAAUGAUAGAAUCAAAACAAUAUCUCUCAUUUCUUAUUUUUACUUAAUUUACGUUAGGUUUUCUUUCUUAGAUUUACAUUGAAUUUUUGGUGCUUCCACUUUAAUAAAUUUAAGAACUAUCCUACUGAUGUUUUUAAUAAGGUGCCCAAGAGUUCCAAUGUAGCCAUCUGCAGAAAAUGCAUGCUGGACUGCUCAGAACAUACUAAAGAGGAAACAGUGACAACAACUCAGUGGUUGAACAUCAUGUACUAAAUUUUGGCCAAUAAAAAUUUAGAAGGAAGCUAGAGCCGUAUUGCAUUGGUCUCCGAACCAUCUAAGCGGCGAUCUCGACCUCUCCUGGCCCGCCACCCCUCUGGUGCUGGACGAAGACAACGAGGUCCCUGCUCCCGUGGUGCCGCUGCCUUCUCCUCCGCCCGUCGCCACCCCUAU
This is a non-coding RNA of Aegilops tauschii subsp. strangulata, 2588 nucleotides long. The record is from RefSeq and is a predicted model, not a curated record. NCBI's taxonomy places the organism in Eukaryota, Viridiplantae, Streptophyta, Magnoliopsida, Poales, Poaceae.